This 439-nucleotide ribosomal RNA is filed under the name uncultured Brasilonema sp. RNAcentral's name for it is "bacterial SSU rRNA". It matches the Rfam family "Bacterial small subunit ribosomal RNA", at positions 8 to 491 of the family's 1533-position model. Lineage: Bacteria; Bacillati; Cyanobacteriota; Cyanophyceae; Nostocales; Scytonemataceae. The record is from RNAcentral.
AGAGUUUGAUCCUGGCUCAGGAUGAACGCUGGCGGUAUGCUUAACACAUGCAAGUCGAACGGAGUUCUUAGGAACUUAGUGGCGGACGGGUGAGUAACGCGUGAGAAUCUGGCUUCAGGUUCGGGACAACAGUCGGAAACGAUUGCUAAUACCGGAUGUGCCUAAGGGUGAAAGAUUUAUCACCUGAAGAUGAGCUCGCGUCUGAUUAGCUAGUAGGUGUGGUAAGAGCGCACCUAGGCACCGAUCAGUAGCUGGUCUGAGAGGAUGACCAGCCACACUGGGACUGAGACACGGCCCAGACUCCUACGGGAGGCAGCAGUGGGGAAUUUUCCGCAAUGGGCGAAAGCCUGACGGAGCAAUACCGCGUGAGGGAGGAAGGCUCUUGGGUUGUAAACCUCUUUUCUCAGGGAAUAAGUACUGAAGGACCUGAGGAAUCAGC